GGAUGUGAGGGCGAUUUGGCUGCGACAUCUGUCACCCCAUUGAUCGCCAGGGUUGAUUCGGCUGAUCUGGCUGGCUAGGCGGGUGUCCUCUUCCUCCCUCACCGCUCCAUGUGCGUCCCUCCCGAAGCUGCGCGCUCGGUCGAAGAGGACGACCAUUCCCGCUAGAGGAGGACCAGUCUUCGGUCAAGGGUAUACGAGUAGCAGCGCUCCCCUGCUAGAACCUCGGAACAAGCUCUCAAAUACGAAGUAAUAAGUCUGCCGCAGUCAGAGUCAUACGGACAUAAACAGGAUCAUUUACAAUAUGCAUAUGUAAACUGUAAUAAUAU
Molecule: small nuclear RNA, 326 nt
Filed under: Ochotona princeps (American pika)
Lineage: Eukaryota; Metazoa; Chordata; Mammalia; Lagomorpha; Ochotonidae
Description: 7SK RNA (ENSOPRG00000020310.1)
Rfam family: 7SK RNA
About the family: 7SK was discovered as an abundant small nuclear RNA in the mid-70s but a possible function has only recently been suggested. Two independent studies have found that 7SK RNA binds the CDK9/cyclin T complex (known as elongation factor P-TEFb). P-TEFb activates transcription by phosphorylating the C-terminal domain of RNA polymerase II.
Source: RNAcentral